Molecule: long non-coding RNA, 1106 nt
Organism: Passer domesticus (house sparrow)
Lineage: Eukaryota; Metazoa; Chordata; Aves; Passeriformes; Passeridae
Exons: 3
Source: RefSeq, a predicted model, not a curated record
CUCACACUUGGGAGAAUCUGACCCCAGCUGUGGCCAGGAUGGAACACUGUUAUGGCUAAAGACCACUGCUUUGAGACUCUAUGAACAGUGGUCCAAAAUGAGAUCCUUGGAGCUCUCCUGGGCUGCAGCAGGCUGUGACCAGCAACCUUCCUCUGAGUGGGGCCUCUCAGAGCCAGGGAACUCCCACGUUUUCUGUGCUUGGAGGAUGGCUGAGUGACAAUGACUCCUGGGCUGAUAUCCUUACUCCAGAGUGAAUAUUUUACUGACCUCUGGGGGGAAUUUUUCACAGCUAAUCCUAAUGAAAUUUCAACUAAACCUAGACUAAGAGAACUUCAAAUUGCCUAUGUGAGGUGUGAAGCAUCUUGCUGAAGUGACAGAAAGUUCUGCCUCUGGAAGUUCUGCUUCCCCGUGAUACGAUUACUCUUCUGAAGAAGAUGUGAUGUGUUUCAACGUGGAGGAAAUCGAGUGGAAAUCAGGAAUGUGGAGUUCUUUCAGAACCCUGCCACUAGCCAACUCUGUCAUCUUGAUUAUAUUACCCUGAAAUAAAAACUUUACAUAAGAAUGAAGUGGAAUUGAGAUGUUUUUAUUCCACAUAGUCUUGUAAAUGCUUUGUUUUAUACCUCUUUCCCUCCCACCAUAUUUGCCAUAUAUUCAGCUACAAAGUGGAGUUCUGCUUGUUCACAUUGUAACUCUCGAUUUGUUCAAAGCAAUAUGGUAGUGCUUAAAUAUAUCUUUAGCCUUCAGCUUAUGUAAAAUACUCAGAACAGACAACAGCCUGAUGGUUACACAAAUUUCAAAGUAUCAAAGUUGGUUUUCUGUAUCUUAAAAUGUAUGAAAAUUAAAAUUUAGAUAGUAGUGAAUAUUUUGCUAAAAUUGUAACUAUGACAGGUUCAGGGAAGAUUUUGAGGGCUGUUUCGACACUUGAAUCCUUUUUAAUGUAAUCUUACAUUUUCUCUAACAUCAGUCUAUGUAUAUUCUAUAUACAAAUAUGCUGAAGUUCAAAUUAGACUUUCAAGUCCUUGUAUAAUGUUGGUAAAACUGGUGUUUUUCUUAUGGAGCUCUAUUUAUUUCCUUGAGGUCUCUUUCAAGCCAGACCAAUAUGAUUC